This is a non-coding RNA of Leptonychotes weddellii (Weddell seal), 2146 nucleotides long. The record is from RefSeq and is a predicted model, not a curated record. NCBI's taxonomy places the organism in Eukaryota, Metazoa, Chordata, Mammalia, Carnivora, Phocidae.
GCGCGUCAGCGGCGACGCGGGAACGAACGUUCGGUGAGACGGCGCGGAGGGGGCUGGGUUUCGACGCCCUGGAAUUCUGCUCGUUUUCCAGGAGUUCCUUGAGGUGGGAGCGCGAGCCGCCGAGGGAGCCGCGACUGAAGCCUUCCCCGAGGAUCCAGUCCAGGAUUCCACGUUGCAUUGAGAUACCAUUUCUCAGUCUCCUUCAGUCUGGAUCAGUUCUUCAGUCUUUUUUCUUGACCGUGACACUGGUACCCAGAGCUGGCCUUGCCAAAUGAAGCUCAGGGAAUCUGCUCCUUCUGGAACACUCCCCAGAGUCAAGAACAAAGUGCUGGAGGCCACUGCUUCUCCUCGGAGCCUCGCAGGGCAGGAGCCCGGCCAGCGGAUCUGGAUCCGGAGUGUUCAAAGUUCAAGGGCUGUACAAGUCCUCAGGAUUCAUUUAGCCCAGAGAAGAGUGUCGACUUUGAGCAGUUCAAGAUGGGACUUGCCCCGGGUCAGAGUGCUCCAGGAUUGCUAAUUCAAAGGCAGGCAUUCCAGAAGAUUCUACGCGGCAGGAGCCAGGCAGGCUUGGCCCGAUGGCUGCUCUCUGAAGACACCACUGAAACACCAACCACCCAGCCUCCUUGGAACAAACUCAUUCCAGACCUGGCAAUUUGGCUUGACAUUGGCUGUGACCUUGGACAGAACCCAAAUCCUUCCAGUUGCUGAUAAAACUUCUGGUCUUGGUUCUUAAAGACACCACUAUGUCUUGGCAUGGGCGGCCCAUUUCCGUGACUUGUUCUCUGGGCCACAUGGGGCCAUGGCGAUUGACAGCUGCUUCUGGGGACGUUAGGUGUCUGCAGAUGGGGCUCCUGUGGGCCUGUGGGCCGGCCUCCACGCCUCAGCACAGCCAGCAGGGCAGGAGGCCCUGGGCACAGCACGGAGAAGGUCCCUUCCCACCACAGGGCACCAAGGCAGGGGGCUCUGUGGACACCGGUCAGCUCGGGACUGCCCAACAGCUACAGGACACCCCUUCCCUCCUGGGAUCUGAGUUUUAAAAAAUAAUGGUGGAAGCUGGAAGCAGCUGAUCCGAGGAGAAGCCCAGUGUGGAGGUGCCCGCUCGUCCAGCGUGGCCCCUUUCAGCUCUCAGGCGGGAUGGGUAGACUUGGACCAAAGUUCAUGGUCCGGCAGAGGAGAGAAGAACACUCAGAAGGAAAAGAUGACCCAGGAGUCACCGGGAAUGAAUGUACCCAAAAGAAGUGAACACAGGUAUUCAAACAAGAAUGUGUGCCCACAGCAGCGCAAAGCUGUAAACAACCCAUGUGAUCAUCAACAUAUGAACAGGUAAAGCCAAAUGUGGACUGUCCGUGCAAGGAAAUAUUAUCUGGCCACAGAAGCAGUGAGGCAAUGAUCCGCGCUACAGUGCGGCUGCAUCUUGCAAGGAUGAUGUGGAGUGACAGAUGCCAGACAAGAAAGGCCACACCCACGUAUGAUUCCACCCGGGUAUGGUGCCCACAACAGGUAGAUCCUGGCAGAAAGCAGGGUGGCGGGUGCCAGCGCCUGGGGAGAGGGAUGGUGGUGACUGCUGAUAGGGGUGGGGUUUGCCUUUGGGGUGAUGGAAUGUUCUGGACUUAGAAGUGGUGGCUGCACAACUCUUAGUGUACUAAAUGCUACUGAAUCGUUCACUUUAAAAUGGCCAGAAUGGUACAUUUUAUAUGUCUGUUCCAACAGGAGACCUCCCACGGGCCAGGUGUUCCAGGUCUCAUUUCAGGGGUAGGAACGCUUUAGGAGGCGGAGGGGCCAGGGCUGAACCCAGGCCAGUGGGCUCCAGCCUGCGAGCGGUUUCCCACCCACAGGCCUCCUGUGAGUGUUUUCUCUUUGGGCCGUCCACUGUGUCACACACACUGCCCACGGCGUGCCGGGGUCCCCAGGGCAGGAGGGGCCCUCACCUCUCCCAUCACAGCAAUGGGCGUCUCUCCGGUCGCCUCGGCGACACGGUGCUCCACCAGGUAGAACAUGUACUCGUCAUAGAGCAGGCGGAUCAGGUGGAAGGAGCCAAAGCUGGCGGCGCUGCGUAGCGUGAGAUCGCGGAUCACCAUGGAGCUGGGGGGAUGGGCAGACAGAGGCUGGGGACUUCCGGGGAGCAUGGACUCGCAGGCAGGCAGUCGGG